Long non-coding RNA from Corvus hawaiiensis (hawaiian crow), 1705 nucleotides. RefSeq lists it as uncharacterized. Lineage: Eukaryota; Metazoa; Chordata; Aves; Passeriformes; Corvidae. The record is from RefSeq and is a predicted model, not a curated record. The transcript has 2 exons.
GCAUAAACAGGAAGGGUCAAUGCACAAGGGGAACAGUCUGGUCCACAUGCAGAACUCUCCCUGAGGCAGGUCCACCUUCUUCACUUCCCCUCAAAGAAGGAACAGACUUUUGUCACCCUUCUAAGAGCAUGUAAGCCAUGUGUUCUCUUCCUACAGCUGCAGAUCCACCAGCACCAUGUGCCUAAGCCAUCCAGUCCCAGGAGGGUCUUGCCACCUCCAGGCCCUCUCCAGAGGACCAAGAGCUGCCAGAGUGGUGAAGACGGCUAAUUAUGAACCACACAGACAGACAGUGAAGACUGCACACCCCACCGAGUGACCAAGAUACAGGCUACAGUUUUUCACAAUGACAUUAUAAGAAGAAAGUGUUAUAAAAAUCAGUCAUGGAUUCACCAUGUGAAGUCAUGGCCUCCAUCACUCCCUCUAUUAAUCCCUAUCCUGCAUCCCUGUGCUGUAGUUGUGGAACCUCAUUCAUUACUGCCAUGCUGUGGGUCCUCUUUAGUUCCUCAACUCAGGGGGCUGGUUGGAGGGAGCUGGGUGCUGUGGAAAGCAAACAUACACUGGAGACCUGCCUGUGUAACACUGAACCUAGCACAGGCUGGGAGGGCAAGCUUGUUCCCUUUGGACUGUGCAUACCUCUGAGGGGAAUGACAAAAGUUUGUUGCAAAAGUUUGUGACGAUUUGGUUCAGAGAACAAUUUGGGGUGAGUCAUUGGUAAGACUUCAAGAUUGUGAGUUGGAACAAAAACCUCAGUGGAACAGUACAAGAAUUAUUUAAAUUUUUUAAUUAUAAUUCAUCAUGAAGAAGAAGAGAACACUUCAUCCAAAGGCAAUUUUACAGGAAUAAUUGCUCUGACACAAGCAGCGGGCAGUAAGGGAGGUGCCAGCCCAGGAAAAUGUGUAUGGAGCCAUUGGCAGGACACGCCUGGGAAGACAAAAACUAAAAAUCCAAGUGAACUCUCUAGCAUAUCAGCAGGUAGUAUUGCAGCUGGUGACAAUAAAGUCCCCACACUCAUACUUCAGUAGGAAAAGGUGCAAAUAAAGAACUUAUUGAAAAGCACACAGAAUCAGAGCUUGAUCUGUGUUCAGAACAGCUGAGUUUCAGAGUACACAUGGAGCUGUCACCUGAGGACACUUUUUCCAACAGAAAACAGAAACCAAGACUAGCUGCUUAUUAGACACUGGCGACUUGUAAAAAGGGAGUCUGAGACAGCAAAGGAAACUCCUCAGUCAAACUCAGUGUUGUCAAAUCCAUCUCUCUCCUGGAAUAAGAGUGAGAGCUGGUACUGAACUUCAUAGGGAUUUUGAGCUUCCUGGAAAUUGCAGAUAUGUAUUUUUUACAGUAAUCGCUAUAUAAGUGAUCCUUUAAUUUUCUUCCAUACAUCCUUUUCAUACCCUCUGCAGACUCAUCAGGCCACAUGGUUUUUAUCCCUGACCUGAUCCAUUAGGUCGACUUGUAUUACAGCACUGGUCUUUAUUGUAUAUUACACAAAUAGGGUCGGGCACACAUUUAAUGACAACUUGAAAUGUGCAGUGCUUCAGGGCCCUUUCAGGUAUUGCAUUUAUGCAAAACCAUCUAUUUGGAAUAUGAAACUUGGUAUGUACUCAGUGUUCAAUUUAAAUACAGCAGCUCUUAUUUUUUCAAGUACAAUUUCAGAGUUUUUAAUUGUUGUAUGAAUAAACAACCAAUCAGGUGGUUCAGCAAAUAC